CUGGUUGGGUCUAUGUCCAGAACAAUGUUGGCGAAGGCUCUGAUUUUGGAUAGAAAGCUUAUCAAAGUUAUUAAGUUUGGCUUGUCAGAUGCUUCUAGAUUAUACUCGAGAGAUGAGAAACUGAUUGCAGAUAUUCACCAACAUCAUGGCAGAUUAUUCAUUUCUACUUUCAAUUGGUUUGUUGCAGUCCGUAGAAGCUCUCUUGGUGAUUCUCUUUAUAUUGAAGUUCCAGUUGAUACUACUUGCC
This is a long non-coding RNA of Eucalyptus grandis, 247 nucleotides long. RefSeq lists it as uncharacterized. Lineage: Eukaryota; Viridiplantae; Streptophyta; Magnoliopsida; Myrtales; Myrtaceae. The record is from RefSeq and is a predicted model, not a curated record. The transcript has 2 exons.